CCUAACGGUUAAUACCCGUUAGCGAUGACAUUAGCUGCAGAAUAAGCACCGGCUAACUCUGUGCCAGCAGCCGCGGUAAUACAGAGGGUGCAAGCGUUAAUCGGAAUUACUGGGCGUAAAGCGAGCGUAGGUGGCUUGAUAAGUCAGAUGUGAAAUCCCCGGGCUCAACCUGGGAACUGCAUCUGAAACUGUUAGGCUAGAGUAGGUGAAAGGGAAGUAGAAUUUCAGGUGUAGCGGUGAAAUGCGUAGAGAUCUGAAGGAAUACCGAUGGCGAAGGCAGCUUCCUGGCAUCAUACUGACACUGAGGCUCGAAAGCGUGGGUAGCAAACAGGAUUAGAUACCCUGGUAGUCCACGCCGUAAACGAUGUC
Molecule: ribosomal RNA, 369 nt
Filed under: uncultured Psychrobacter sp.
Lineage: Bacteria; Pseudomonadati; Pseudomonadota; Gammaproteobacteria; Moraxellales; Moraxellaceae
Description: bacterial SSU rRNA
Rfam family: Bacterial small subunit ribosomal RNA
Source: RNAcentral